GACACUUUGGCCGAGUGGUUAAGGCGCCGCCCUGCGUAAGCCGAUUCACCUCUUAAGGUCUGCAAUUCUUCAACUAACAUCUAAACUAGUAUUAUCCGUAUAUCUACGAUAAAAAAAGGCGGUCAGUUCGCUGGCGUAGGUUCGAAUCCUGCAGGUGUCG
This 160-nucleotide transfer RNA is filed under the name Tolypocladium ophioglossoides CBS 100239. It matches the Rfam family "tRNA". Rfam says of the family: Transfer RNA (tRNA) molecules are approximately 80 nucleotides in length. Their secondary structure includes four short double-helical elements and three loops (D, anti-codon, and T loops). Lineage: Eukaryota; Fungi; Ascomycota; Sordariomycetes; Hypocreales; Ophiocordycipitaceae. The record is from Rfam by way of RNAcentral.